Molecule: transfer RNA, 76 nt
Filed under: Bacteroides sp.
Lineage: Bacteria; Pseudomonadati; Bacteroidota; Bacteroidia; Bacteroidales; Bacteroidaceae
Description: tRNA-Arg
Rfam family: tRNA
About the family: Transfer RNA (tRNA) molecules are approximately 80 nucleotides in length. Their secondary structure includes four short double-helical elements and three loops (D, anti-codon, and T loops).
Source: RNAcentral
GGCCUCAUAGUUUAACAGGAUAGAACGUGGGAUUCCGGUUCCCAUGGUGGGGGUUCGAGUCCUCCUGGGGUCACAA